AUGGACGGGAGCAGGAGAAUUCUCUUCCUGGUGGCAGUGGCUGCAGGUGUGAACUCCCAGGUACAGCUGGUGCAGUCAGGGGCUGAGGUGGGAAAACCUGGGACAUCAGUGAAGGUCUCCUGCAAGAUGUCCGGAUACACCUUCACUGAGUACUAUAUACAAUGGGUGCGGCAGGCCCCGGGACAGGGGUUUGAGUGGAUGGGAGCACUAAAACCUAGCAAUGGUGAUACAGGCUACGCACCGAAGUUCCAGGACAGACUCACAGUCACUGCAGACAAGUCCAAGGACACAGCCUACAUGGAACUGAGCAGGUUGAGCACUGAGGACACGGCCAUGUAUUACUGUGCAAGACACACAGUGUGA
This is a non-coding RNA of Sorex araneus (European shrew), 363 nucleotides long. NCBI's taxonomy places the organism in Eukaryota, Metazoa, Chordata, Mammalia, Eulipotyphla, Soricidae. The record is from the annotation of a RefSeq genome assembly.